AACAAGAGAAGCAUCAGCUGUCAAUAAUAAGAUAUGUUUCCACCAACAAACCACAAAAAGAAAGGAAAACUUCCAAAACAUAAGUGAAAAAAUAGAAAAACUGUAAUCUGGGUUACUAGGGAGGGGGGUACUCGACUGGUUCAGAAGACAACAAUGGAGGACCUAAGGCUUGGAGGAACUAGAGGGAUGGGUUUGGAGAAGGUUGAGCAUAUUCUGAAGCAUCCCAUCACUUUUCUUGUUUUCUUUUGCUAGCUCAUCUCUAAGACCAUCUUUUUCAGUUAGCAAUUCUGCAACUCGAGCCUAAGGCCUAACAAUUUCAGCAUCCUUAGUUUAACACUCUUGAACCAUAGCCCUAACCUUGCUAUUCACAAGUGUCUUCAGAGAUUAACUAUGUUCAACUAGGAUGGCAUUUACAGGAUAGUCACAAGCCAAUAAGGUCUUAAUAGCAAAAUGCUCCUUGCUUGAUGCCAUCUCCCAUUUCUUCAAAGGCACCCUUAGCCUGUCCAGCACAGUAGUCAGUGUGAACCCACAUGGAGUUGUAUGUGCUUGGAGCAAUUAAUGACCCUGUCUAGUAAUUUGACAAUAAAAGCAUGCCAAUUUAUCUGCAUUCCUCUCACAAGGCACUCCAUAAGCACCAGGUCCAUGUCGUUGGUGGUGUGCCUUGUCUCCUAUCUGAGCAGUAGGCACUUGUUAACAAACUCAAACAAGACCUUAUGCUUAGGCCUCAUCUUACUUUUCUGUACGAAUCUAGCUUCAAGUACAUCUUUAGUAGUUGCAGUAUCACAAAAAUUCCUAGUGAUUUGAAGAGCAGUAGGGAGAGAAUCUAGACAUGGCCAACUCUGUCUUAUAUAAUCAUCAUACCCUUCACUAGGUAUGUCUAGAAUCUCACCCAGUUUGAUUGCAUCAAACUCCACUUUUACACCCUUCACCAGGCUGUAGACUACUUCAUUUUUCACAGUGGCAUUGGCCAUAAACUCAAUCGAUUCAUUCCUAGCCAGUCUCCUAUCCAUCAUAAGGACCAAUUCCUUCCAACCUUAUGCAGCCAGGGCAUCCACCAAUCUUUUCAUAUCUGGCUUAUCCAGGUCUCUCAAUAGUCUUCUUUUCAAAAAUUUUCUUCUGCCAAAGAUGGCAAACCUAUCUUGUUCCUUCCCAGAUUCCUCUUCUUCUUCUCCACCACCCCACUCUUCAUCUUCUUCAAUAAUUUUCUUUUGUUUAGCCUUCACAACAGACCCAGUUCUUUAGGCUAUAGAAGAUUCAGCAGGUACAGGAACAGAGGAAGACUUCUUGGAAGAAGUCUUGGAAUUUUUUUGUUAGGGUGGUGGAACCUCUUUAGUUGUUCCUCUUUCUUGAUGCAUCAAUUCCAUCCCCUCUUAUUCUUCUUCUGCAACCUCAGAACUUUCUACAACCUUUGCUUUUCCAUUCUCCUUCUUCCUUUUCCUACUUUCUUCCUGGGCUUUCUGUAACUCUACUUCACUUUUGUUUGACCCUGCUUCUAGUAGCUCUUCCCUUAGGAACUGAAAGGACAAUAGGUUUUGGGGGAUGAAGUUUUGCUUUACUUGGUUGGCUUGGAAGCAGUUGGAGCCUUUUGUAAAGAAGCCUUGUGCUUCUUUGGAACAUAGCUUUUUCAGAAGAUCAACCAAGAGUUUCCUCAGCUAAUGAAACAUCUUCUUGUUGUUUGCUUAGAUGAAAAAGCCCACUCAGCCGCUUCCCCAGAACCACUUCCCCCUGACUUGAUGCCACUCUCUUCAACACUCUCACAUAGCAAUAAUCUUUUCUUUCCCAUUACCCCUCUUAUCACCACUUGCUCCCUAUCUCUCUUUUCCUUUAUUUUUACCUCCACUCCUACUUGAUUCAUCCCCCUUCACAUCUUUUAUAGGACCAACUAGAACAAACCUAUUUUUAGUGCUUUCAACCACAAUAGAAAAUACUACACAAGACUUACAUCACCAGGGAUUUCUUUAAUUUUCUCAGCAUCAGAAGACCCAUGUUCUUCACCUUCACUAGCAAAAAUAAAAUUUUCAAACUCAGAGUUGGAGUCAGAUUUGUGUAUAGGGCUUUCUUUCUUUUGGCCAGCCUUCAAUUUCUCAUUAAGAACUUUCCAUAUGGCUCCAGAUGCUACAGUUUUUUAGCCAACAUAUUCUGCCUGCAAACCCUAGGUUUUGGGAUUUAAUAGGAGGAGUAAAUGAGGUUGUGUUUGAGAGAGAUGCUGGUGGGGGAGUGCCAGGAUUAUCUUGGGGGUUAGACAUGGUUCUUUGUCUAUGGAAGAGUUUUGGGAAUUUCUGAGAAGAAGGAAGAUUUGGGAUUUUUGAGAAGAAGGAAGAUUUGGGAUUUCUGGAGAGGAAAA
This 2344-nucleotide long non-coding RNA is filed under the name Nicotiana benthamiana. RNAcentral describes it as "long non-coding RNA (NBEN_LNC013759)". The record is from RNAcentral. Lineage: Eukaryota; Viridiplantae; Streptophyta; Magnoliopsida; Solanales; Solanaceae.